UUACCUUUAGAAUUCAGAAAGCAUUUUGGCAAUGUCUUAAGAGUGUAGGAAUUCAAACACCAUAAGCAAUCGCAAGAAUACCAGAGCUGCUUUUGAACAACAGGAUGUAGAUACAAGUUCUGUCCUGAACCAAAGCAGCAUAGGUCGGACUAGGUACAUUGUUCAAAAAGAAGAUAGAAAAGCAAACCAAACUGUUCUGUACUUGAUAUAACAGAAUUUUAAAAGGGGCCUAACUGAGGAUGAAUCUUCCUAGAACAGUGAUGCAAACUAAUUGAUUUUGAAUUCCUUCUGAACACAACUGACCUCUGUACCACAGCAGUGCAAAACCUAUCUGUAACUGCAAACCUGCCUUAAAACUUAAGAGUUUCCAGGUUUACAAGAAACGCACACCUCGUGAGCUGAGUAUAUGCACAAACGUCAAUCACACACAGAAGAGGUACUGAUUUUUCAGGCUUUUUCUCCAAACAAUCUGUAAUCUUUUCUAGUCUAUAAUGAAAGCAGGAGAAAGUGAAAGCAUUUUUAUGUUCAUAAAUUCAUUAUUGCAUCUUUGUCAUUACAGCUAUUUGUCACCACGAUUAGUACGUGUGUGUCUGCAGUGGGCUGAAAGAGUAAGACUGAGCAUUCACGAGGCUGAAUGGUUCCAUUGUCAGUCUUGCUGAAAACUUGAUUUCCUACAGACCUCACACUGGGAUUAUAGAACACACAGCCUUUGCUCUUGCGUCCUUAUUAAAACCACUGCGCAGCUGAGAGUAAUCUCUCCCUCAACAUGGAUUUGCCUACCUGUAAAUGGGAAGAUAAUUCGUAACCAAUUUACUGCCUCACCAUAGUCUCCUGAUCAGAGGAGACUACUAGAGUUUCAGACAGAAAACCUCAUUUUUCAUUCGGCUCCUGAAGCUUGAAAGAAGACUUACAUAUGAAAAGAGAGAGGAAGGCUUAUAACAGGAGAUGUUCUACAUGAAUGAAGCAUAUCAAGGUGUCCUUUGUAGGAACAAUCCAGCAGCUACUCAGUAAACUCACCAUCACUGUAAGUAAAUUCGGCAAUCAGAAAAUUACUAUAAUUUGUCAAAACUGUUAUCUCUUUCCCCUGGUAAUCAGCUAAAUGCAUGGGAAGAAACUUUAAAUGGAAUCAUCUGCACCCCUGAGUGCGUAUAUGUGUUUUGUACAGUGUAAUGAAUUUCUCACCAACCAGAUCAGAAUACUCGUGAGCACUCUGCAUAUUUAAAAUGUUUCCUAAGUUUUAUGUGCCAGAAAGGACCCUUAGCGUGGGGAACCGAUUGCUGUACAGUUUUUCUUGCAGAACUGGCUUUUUCACAGCAGCUGACUAACAUUACUAUAUUUUACCAGGAAUAGUACACUACACUAUCUUCUAUACUAUCAGCAUUUCUUUUACAUUCAGCAUGGUUAUAAUACAAGUUUCCAUUCUUUGGAGGUUUUUAUUAUUCUAGAUUUCUCAUUAAGGAUUUGAAGGAAUAUAACACUUUCCUUAUUCAAUUAAAAUAUCCCGUGUUCGUGAUUUCAUUGAUAGAAAAGGAUGUUUAAAAUCAACAUUUAAAACCAUAUCAACCUAUGAAUGUAUGUGUUUAUGAAAUCCUAAGCCCCUUUAGGAUGGUGAUUAAAUGACUUAAAACUCAGAUACAAAAAGAUCAGGACAUAUGCUUAGGGGGCUAUAGAUUGAUUAUGUCCUUGCCCACCUUCAGAUCAUGCUGACUCUCCUUAGGACCUCUGAUAAUCUCCUGCCUAAAAAGACUGCAGGAUGUAAACCAAUGUACCAUAUCUCACAACAUAUCUCUGGUGUCGUGUUGUCCCAUGUCCAUUUUCUGACUAGAGAGGAUUUGCCCAAGAGAGACUGAGGCAAAGUUUGAGAGGUUGAAGUAUCAGUCUUUCCCUUUUGAACCAUUUUUAGCUCUGUGUCAUUGGAAAGGAAGUACUUUAGAUGAGCAAAACUGAUUCAUGAAUCUAAUGGGCCAGUUCUUGCUUAACCAUUUAACCUUAUUCCCACUUCACAUUCCCUUCAGAUUUGAACUGUUGAAUGAAGUCGUGCUUCACCUUCCAAAAUACUGAAGUACAUAGUUUCUUAUAGAGAAAUGCUUUUAUAGAUUCUUCCAGAAAUUACUGCAUUAUAAGAGUAUCAGUUUGCUCUUAGUACAUUGCAUGUAAAGUGUUGCUUUGAUAUCUUUUAGAUCAUACAAUCCCAUACAAGUGCAAAUUCUUUUUAUGUAAUUACAGUAAUUGUCAGGAACUACAGACUUUGCAAUAAACUGUUAGAGGUGGCAGAAAUCUGUUCUUGCAGAGAAGAAAAGAGAAAAUGGAAGGAUCUGCAUGCUUAGCAUUAAAGAAAUGAUUAUAGUGAUUAUGGAUUUCUUAGUUAUAGAACUCACAGAACAAAAGUGCCUGUAAGAAAGAUUUAAUGUCUUACUGUGCUUUUAUUCCUGUAUGUGCCUGUUCUAUUUACUGUACGUAAGACCUUUCCAAAUGAUAAUGUGUGUGUGAUGCAAAGGAUGGAAGAGACUGAACAAAUCAGAACACUUCUACUGUUCUAAAAGGACCAAGAAAGAUUUAUUUCAGCUGAAAGUCUCAUUAAUGGCUUCUAACCUGUUCCAGAUAUGGAUAUUGCAUUCAAUUACUUUUAAUAAUUUGCCAGUGUGAAGAGCAUUUCACAACAAGAUGAUCAUCAUUCAAAACAAAAUGAACAUCAGUUUCAUAAUUCAAAAUAGAAAUAUCUCUCCUGUGAUGCAGUUUGGCUUGAUCAGAGUCUGACCUUUCCACAUGCAAAACAUACUUAAUAAAAGAAUUAUUUGUGGUAUUGUCUCUAUCCCAGACAGCAAAAACAGUAUGAUACGUGGUUAAGGCUCAGAGUGUGUUUAGUGGUGCCUGAAGAAGCACUGGGGUGGGCGUGGUAUAUUCUUUGUACAUUUACAAGAGCUGUUUUUUUCCUCUCCUAUUCACCCGACAACUGCCCUCUGCCUGCAACAGUUGGAUGCUCUUAGUUCAGUCCAUCUGAUUUUUCAUUACAUCUUUAUUGUUCUCUGUCCACGAAACUGAAUAGAAAUGGCUGCCAGAGGAUUUAAACCUGUUCAGUGAAGCUUACGCUUUUUAAAGAGUACACAGCUAUGUGAGCAGGAGCUCAAAGAAUCCACCUGUCCCCUAACAAUGCUGGGUUUUUCUAGUUUCCAUUUUAAAAACAGAACUCAAAGUUAUUCAGUAUCAAGAAGUCUUUUACUGAAGGAUUACAACUCCAGACCUUUACCAGGGCUACAAACAGUUAAUGUAGUACUGGCUGGUAAGGACUUUAAAAACUAAUAUCUGAGGGCAAUAGAACUAAGGGUACCAGAGUUUCAGUUUGGUUUUUGUGAUGUGACUUCAGACAAAUACUUUAAAAUCUUGAUUCCUCACCUGUGAAAUGAAAAUAGUCUCUUGUUCCCUCAGAGGGGAAUCACUGUAUGAGCCAUUAGGCUAUUCCCUACUUGAGCAAUAUAAGAUACUAAAUAACUAAUUAGCUGUGCCACAAGAAGUUGAAUUUGUCUGUGUCAUAAGUAGCCUGGAAGCUACUCAUUUCUUCUUCGUUAGUAACAAUAAUGCUUCACUGUUUUGAAAUUGUGAAAUGUAUUCAGAUUUUCUCUCUGCCCCAUGAAACUUCAAUGCUGGGUCUGGCACAAGAAGAAGGCGGCUGAUACAAUGCAGGAAGAGGCUGCAGAAGCCCCACAUGGAGAGCAUUUAUCAGAGUUCACCAGUGAAAGGCUUUUUUUGUAUGCAGUACGUUUGAGCAAGCUGGAAAAACUAAUAGCUUUGACUUCAGGAGGCCAGACAGUCAGUAGACAAGCACUGUGCAGCUCUCCAGACCGCCCUGCGAAGGCUCCUCAGUUCUUGCCCUCAACACUCCUAUUAUUCCCUUGCAAUUGCUGCCAGUUGGCUUGGUAACUGUGGGCAUAUUUGAACAGCUGAAUUCUUCUCUCAGUUACACUUGGCACCACUAUGGACUUCAGGGGAGCUACAGGGUGUAACCAAGGGCAGAACUUGGCUCCAGGCACCCACUACAAACCAGGUCAAGGCCACCAAAUGCAUUUUUAUCAUUUAUGUUUUAAUCCACAUCACUUGCAAAAGGAACCCGGAACGUUAACUGUAUCACCUGGCUUCCUUCAGUUGGGCAUAAGAUUAUGCUGUAUGUGAAGAUUUGUCAGCGCGCCAGCAAGUACACAUUUCUUGUACCUGGAGCGCAGACUCACUGUCACUCAUGCUGCAAUCUACCCACCUUCAAGUCUACUCAUGCUGAGCUAAGCCAUCUUCCAGAGCUGUACUUGACACAGUGCUUUGUUUUAACCACAUCUUUUUAUUUCAUAAAACAGAGCUAAGUAUCCUGAAACUAAGGGAGUAUUUUUCAUGCUGCUAUAAUUUGUGAAAUAAUGAGACAUUUUGGUCUGUUAACUCCUCUUAAGUCUCACCACAAUGUUAUGCUUUGACUUCAUUUGUGGUUGCAAAAUAUUGACUUUUCUCUUUAGCAGAUUAUAUGAAGCUGUGUAUUUUGUUUUGGGAGAUAUACACAUAUAUUUAUAUAUAUAUUUAAUCUUAGUAGAAGCUGUCAGUAAAGUUACCUUUGUGCUCUAAUCUGUUUUUGGACCCUCUUUAAAAACAUUUACCAGGAUAUUGUGAAUUUAUUUGCUGAUCCUAUCUUUUCUCAAAGAAAACUUAGGAUAUAAUGACGAUUUUUUUUUUCACUACACAGGUCAGAUGCACAGAAAUCAGUCUUCACUUGUAUGGGGACUAUAUUCCCCAAACAAUUAUUUAGCAACAUUAAACCUUCCCUCAUUAGAUAUCAUUGACACAAGUAGGCUUUUCAAAAACUGCCAGAAGAAGUUAGAAUUUGAAGCCUUCUAAAAAGUUUGCUAGGACAAACUCCAUAGUAAGGGAGACAGUACUGUCUACUUAGGAUUUAAACAGCAGCAUACCUGGGCUUACUCUCCUUCCUUUUCAACGGACAUAUACUGGGUUCAGUUGCCAAAAACCUGAUCAUUACUGAUUUAUCAACUGAUCUGCUAUCCAAGCAAAAUUUGGAUAUUGAAGAUGCAGUCCAAAAUGCAGCAGCCACAGCGUUCAGGGGGAAGAGGGAGGAGUGAGGGCAAAAUUCUAAUUUUCCACAAGGCAAAUCUUGGAAAAGGAUGAAUUAAUUUAAGAAACAACAGGUGCAUAUGGCUUCCAAACGUCUCAGGUUUAUUUGAGCUUGUGAGGAAAAACAAUGUGUUUUGCCAUUGUCUUUGAUACCUAGUGCUGAUCAACUACUUUCUUCUAGUAGAGUUCCUGGAUUUCUCAGGCUUAAAUUACACAGGACCCUCAAAAACUUGAUUCCAGGAGAGUCUGGCACUGGUCUUUCACCUCUAGACAAUAAAAUCCAGUUUUGCUGAGAAACCUUAAACUACUACUUCUGAACCAAACAUUAAAGUCUACACUAAAGAAUUUCAAAACACACACUGAGGUGAUAUUACAAUAAUCAUGUAUAUUUUAAUCAAACACUUUCAGGUCUAGCCAGGGAUAAAAUCCUACAUAGUAAUAUUUAUCUAGUGAAAACAUGAUACACGCCCCAGAAAUUCCAGGCUAAGAGAAGUGAAACACUACAUAGUCAACCUCUUUUUCAAAACACACAGCCAAGGCUUUACUUGUGCCAGUGAUCGUUUUCCUGGGUGUAAAGAGGAACAGCAGACACAGAGCUUUUUAUCAUACGCAUGCUUCGUCACUGUACUCCAGAGGGCAGCAUGGUAAUACCUAUGAGAUUUGUCUAUCAAGUCAAGCUGAAACCUCCCAAUUUUCAUAUUAAAAAUAAACAUUAAAUUAUUUACUAAUAUUUUCAACAGAGAAGCCAUCAAAUAUACAAAAGUAACAUCUGAGGAAAAGCUGUUCAGACUUCAUAAGUACAAAUAUUAAAACAGUUUAUAAGGAGAUGAGGUUUAAAUGAAAAGUAUCAGUCUUCCUAUACAAUAUUGUAGUUUUAUUAAAGGAUUGCAUAUUCUCAAGCUAAAUUCAAACAGAAAACAAACUAAAAAUAGCUUUCUUUUUAUAAAAAAAUGUGAUAUUUUCUGAUGGUUUCCAUGUUCAGCCUCUAUUAAUACAUUAACUGCAAGUUUAUCAUAUCCUGUAUUAAAGUGCAUUCUUCAAAGCCAAAGAAAUGUAGGAAAAUGCUGCUUGAUAAUGACUUUCAAAAACUGUAAUAAGAGAAGAAAAAACCAAACUUCUAAAUACUUUACUUCAGAAAACAUUAGCUGUUUGCGCUUCAGGCUCUUGGGUGCUUUUAGAAAAUGCAACCUAAGAAAUCACCUUCUUUGUUUCUGUGAUUUGUAUUUAAGAGAGAUCUUAAUGAAAAUCACAGCUCUUCGCAGCAGAAAAAAUAGGCAUCCAGAAAGCGCACCCAAAAAUUUGAAUCAAUUUUCCAUCGUACUUCUCUCCAAAGUAGUAAGCUCAUUCUGGGUUACUAGGGGGAGUGCAAAUCUGAAUAGCAGAAUAUUGUAACCAUUAAAAAGCGUAUGGAGUGUUGCUUUGCUUAUUAUGGAUUUUAUCAGAGCUUUGUUGAGUGAAGCAGCAAUUAAACUAAAUAUGCUGUCCCAGAAACCAUUUAUGAGCAGACUAUACUGAGAGAGACUAUGGCUUGCGUUUCAAAACGUUCUAGGCUUUCUUUUCAAUGGUUGUGGAGAACCGAGUAUGGGUCUCUUCACAAAAGAUCUGGUGAAGCCAAAAACCUACUGUGUCAGAUGUUUAGAAUUUUUGGUCCUGCACCACUUGCGCAACACAGAAGCCUUCUCAAGGAAUUCUGGGGAAAGCUACCUUUGUCAAAGUUUUAACAACUCAGGAUCUCUUGAAGGAAAAGCAUGCAGAAUCACUUCUAUUCUGAGGCCUUCUCAGUCCUAAGCAGUGCUAGGGCUCUACCAACACAGAACACCUAAAGAUGCUGCAAUACUUUUGCCCGCAGUCUCCCCUUGAAAGAACUAUGUGUUAAAGGAAGGCUCAGUACGGGGGAAAUAAGUAAUUAGAAUCUGUAAAUAAUUAAUCUUAGAGAAAGGCUGGCUAAAGAUAACAUCUUGCAAGGGAAAAUACUUUUUCUGCAAUCUUAAAAGCCAUAGAUACUGCCAGAAUAUGUUUUUGACAGUUCGUUAUCUGCUAGCCCUGCCCAUAGAAAUAGGGGUUUUUUUGGCCAAGUUCUGCUUCACUGUUUAUCUGUGUCAUGCAGGCCCAGCAAAGCUGCUUUCAUUUCCUUUUGUCCACUCACUUGUUAUGAAAAUAGAUUUUAAUAGUCUAGUCAGGAAUUUUAAUAUAUGAGACUCAAACUGCGUGCAACAUUUGCUGACCACGUUCCCACAAGCACCAACCUUGGCAGCACCAGCAUUGUUUAGCAAUCAAGUCUCAUACUUCCAUGCGCAUCUAUCAUGAUUACAGUGGAAAUGUAGACAUAGACAAAUGUGGACAGAGACAAAUUGUGAUAAAAAUUUAUGGUAAUUUUGUAUUCAACUGACCUCUUCAAUUAAACUACGAUAAAAGCAUUUUCUUUACACAAUAAGAGCAGCAAUGUGAUUUGUCACAAAACUGACAAGAAAGUAAGCUUUUGUAGGCAUAGCAUUCCCUUCAGACUUAAGAUCUGCAUUCAGCCUCACCUUCAUAAAUAUUUUUUGUUUUGCAGAGAAAAAAACACCUUUCCUAUGCUAUGUUUCUCCAUGUGCACAACACACCCUCUUUCUGUCACGCUAACCAGCAAGAAGCUUGGGACAGAGACUGUGUAAUUACACUCUUUGCAGAACCUUGUAGCAGUGUUGGUUGAUCUCAGCUGAGG
Molecule: long non-coding RNA, 7807 nt
Organism: Cuculus canorus (common cuckoo)
Lineage: Eukaryota; Metazoa; Chordata; Aves; Cuculiformes; Cuculidae
Exons: 3
Source: RefSeq, a predicted model, not a curated record